GAUGAACGCUGGCGGCGUGCCUAAUACAUGCAAGUCGAGCGAACAGACGAGGAGCUUGCUCCUCUCACGUUAGCGGCGGACGUGUGAGUAACACGUGGAUCACCUACCUAUAAGACUGGGAUAACUUCGGGAAACCGGAGCUAAUACCGGAGAAUAUCUUGAACCGUAUGGUUCAAUAGUGAAAUACGGUUUUUCUGUCACUUAUAGAUGGCUCCGCGCCGCAUUAUCUCGUUGGUAAGGUAACGGGUUACCAAGGCAACGAUGCGUAGCCGAACUGAGAGGGUGAUCGGCCGCACUGAAACUGAGACACGCGCCAGACUACUACGAGAGGAACCAGAAGGGAAUCUUACGCAGUGGGGGGAAGCCUGACAGAACAAAGCCGCGUGAGAGAUGAAGAUCUUCGGAUCGUAAAGCGAUGUUAAUAGGGAUAAACAACUGUGGAAGUAACUAUGGACGUCUUGACGGUACCUAAUCAGAAAGCAACGGCUAACUACGUG
Molecule: ribosomal RNA, 497 nt
Filed under: uncultured bacterium
Lineage: Bacteria
Description: partial 16S ribosomal RNA
Rfam family: Bacterial small subunit ribosomal RNA
Source: RNAcentral